AGAGAAAACAUAUACUAACAACACUGGCAUUCUAGCAGGUGUACUGCGCCAAAAUAGUGUCCUUGAAGGAAAGAAUCAAGUUAAACAACGAACUGGAACAGUAUUCUUUCCAUUUUUUCACUUUGUACAAAGUAAAUGAUCCACUGUUGAUUGACAUAAUACUCACGAUUACACAACUAGGCUAAUUACCAGCCCUUGAUUUUGCAUACUGGUGUUACGAGAGAACAGUUGCAGACCAACUUGAUUGCCUCAAGUAUUCUGAUAAGGAGACAUUCAAGUAUGAAAAACAUAACUUAACCAAGGCUGAUAGGCGUACUUUCUAUUGCCCGAGAGAUGGAGAGGAAGUAAGAUGUGAGUUCUAGAGAUAUUUGGCUUCAAUCUCUUCCAAAGUGAGCCCUUUUGUCUCUGGUAUGAUGAAGAAGAUGAAUACAAGAGACAAAACAGCUAUUCCACCAAAGAUGAAAAAUACAGUACCCGCCCCCAGUAAGUCCUGGAGAGGAGAAAAUGCAAAUGCCACUAGUGCAUUUGCACCGAAAUUCACAAGAACUGUAAUACUCAACCCUCUCCCUCUAACGCGCAAGGGAAAGAUCUCUGAGAUCAUCAACCAACCAAUAGGACCAAAUGAUAACUGGUAACAGCCAACAUACAGUAGCAGAGCAGUAACAGCCACAGCUGGAACAUCACCAAGGAAAGUGUAAUAUGAUCCCAGGAGGAAAAGUGACAUCGCAAUCCCAGACACACCUCCAAGAAGCAGAGGCCUCCUCCCAAGCUUAUCAACAACUACCACUGCUACAGCAGUCAUAAUGAGCUUCAACAGUGCAAGGAAAACAGAAGCUCUUGUAGCAUCAGCUGCAGCCGAAAAUCCCGCAUCCUGAAAUAUUUUUGCAGCAUAAUACAAGACACUUGGUUGCCCAGUUAUCUGUUGAAACAAGAUUAGUCCAGCACCAAUUGUUAGGGCUUUCAAACAUUUUCCUUGCAACAUCUCACCUAUUGUCGCCUCUUUUUCUUCGCUUAGUUGUGAAAGCUCAGACAGAAUGUCAUCUACUUGACGAGAUGCUGAAUCACCAAUUGCAGCUCCCCUAAGCUGGCACAAGCAACAUAUGGCAUUUUCUCUUAAACCCUGCAACUCACCCUUCCCCUGCAUAGCACAUAGAAGAAUCCACCGGGGUGAUGAAGGAAGCCACCACAUUCCAAUUCCCAUAAUAACUGCUAAAGGGGCACUAAUUCCGUACAUAUAUCGCCAACCAGCAACAGUUUCUAUCAGAAGGCUUCCAACUGUAUAUCCAGCUAGCAUCCCAAAAACUAUGAAGAACUCUUUAAGAGAAAUCAGUUGUCCUCGUAUCUGGCUAGGAGCCGUCUCAGCAAUGUACAUGGGAGCAGCAUGCAUUGCCAGUCCAAUUCCUACACCAUACAGCAAGCGCCCAAUUACCAGAAUAACAUAGACAGGAGCAA
This 1452-nucleotide unclassified non-coding RNA is filed under the name Hevea brasiliensis (rubber tree). Lineage: Eukaryota; Viridiplantae; Streptophyta; Magnoliopsida; Malpighiales; Euphorbiaceae. The record is from RNAcentral.